Molecule: long non-coding RNA, 290 nt
Filed under: Bos taurus (domestic cattle)
Lineage: Eukaryota; Metazoa; Chordata; Mammalia; Artiodactyla; Bovidae
Description: long non-coding RNA NONBTAT024334
Source: RNAcentral
AUGUCGUAAAAUAGACAGACAUAUCUCUUAACAUGUCAUUACUAAGCUUUUCAAUUCUUAGAACUUUAUCAAGUUCUAGCUGGACAUGUCUAUUUAGAACCUAUAAAUUCAGCCCCAAAUCUCUAUCAUCUGUUUAAGGAAACUGAACCAAGAAAGCCACUGUAUUACAGUAUUAAUGGUUUACAGCUUUAGGUGAAAAUUUCUGAUUCAGAUCUCAAGUCUGAAACUCACAUAUUUACUGGUAAAGCCCUCGGCAGGAGAAAUAUUCUGAUUGUGUCCUUAAAGCCAGC